CAUGUAGGCGGCUUUUUAAGUCGGAUGUGAAAUCCCUGAGCUUAACUUAGGAAUUGCAUUCGAUACUGGAAAGCUAGAGUAUGGGAGAGGAUGGUAGAAUUCCAGGUGUAGCGGUGAAAUGCGUAGAGAUCUGGAGGAAUACCGAUGGCGAAGGCAGCCAUCUGGCCUAAUACUGACGCUGAGGUACGAAAGCAUGGGGAGCAAACAGGAUUAGAUACCCCUGUA
This 225-nucleotide ribosomal RNA is filed under the name uncultured Acinetobacter sp. RNAcentral describes it as "partial 16S ribosomal RNA". It matches the Rfam family "Bacterial small subunit ribosomal RNA", at positions 568 to 792 of the family's 1533-position model. Lineage: Bacteria; Pseudomonadati; Pseudomonadota; Gammaproteobacteria; Moraxellales; Moraxellaceae. The record is from RNAcentral.